This 1280-nucleotide long non-coding RNA is filed under the name Equus caballus (horse). RNAcentral describes it as "lncRNA (ENSECAG00000058689.1)". Lineage: Eukaryota; Metazoa; Chordata; Mammalia; Perissodactyla; Equidae. The record is from RNAcentral.
GCAAAUUCAACUGGGAUUUCUUGAGGAAACAGCCAUUACCUGGACUCUGUAACCCUGCCGCUGGAUGCCUAGUGAAGUCAUUUGACACGGACAGUGUGUGGAGGCAAGGAGGUAAGAAAUGAAUGGUUGUUAAGUUGAAUCGAACAACCCACUCCCACUGCAGGUCUCUAAAUCUCCAGCUGAGCUACGAUGACACAGAAGCUCAUCCCGACACAGUAGAUUCUUUUGUGUUUAUCGACUCUGCACAUGAGUGUGAAGACGACAAGUAAUGUCACUGUGUUCGGUUAUUACCUUCUCCUCCAAGAGGCAGCAAGAAGGAAGACUUAGCUCACCAGCCCGGGUCCAAACAACAAGAAAAAAUAUUUCAGGAGAGGAAGAUCCCAGACCUUGGAAAUAGCCAUUUUUGAUCCCCAGAAAGAAGAAAUCCUGAAUUAACAAAGAAGAGGCUUAGGGCUCAGGUCUCUGAAGUCACUUGCUCAGGGACCCUGGCGAUGGAGACCUGGGAGGGAGAUUAUAGAAAGACUCAAGGUUUCCGGAGUUUGGACUGCUUAUGUAAACUUGGUGAGACAGCUACUGACCCCAAGGUCACCGUGACACCCCCUUUCGCAAAACACUGCUCUCUAGGUACAACAUCUUUACUAUUUUGGGUAAUUUUUCUUUAUCUACCGGAAUCUCCAUGGAGGCCCUUUCUCUCUCAUUUCUCUCCUGUGUAAGUGAAAUAAAGAGUUAGAAUCUAUAACUUCACAGGCCUUGAAAUUCUAUUUUUGUUCAUACUGCCACAGUGAAAUGAUUUCUGAAUUUUCUGUUGCUUUCCCUUCAGCCAUGAGUUUCAUUUGCCAAGUAUCUGAACAGCAGAGGAUUCGAUUCUGUGCGCCGAUACAUUUGUGUUUAGUAGGCACAGAUCUCUCUCGAUAACCAUCCUUUCUUCACACUAGUGGCUUUUAAACCGUUCAGGAUUUUAGAAAUACCAUAAUCUCAGCAUAUUAAAUAUUAAGGGACUCCUUCAGAUUCCCAGAGCCUUAAAGGGAUGCUAUUCAAAUCGGUAAGAGCGCGUUUCCAUGGUGCAGAAUCGAAGUUACGCAGGGCUUCUUCAAGCAGCAGGACUAUAAGCGUCACUCCCGCCGCUGCCUUUCACAAGGGCCCACUUGUUGGGAAAUAUUUGGAAAACAGAGCUGAAGUGGAGAUAACGCAGAGCGCAAACAGGCGGAAAUAAGAAUAAACGGAGCGUGGCUGGCAGAAACCGAGAGCUUGGCAGUUUCUGCAAAGGAAGAGAAGGCUUG